AAUUUAGUACGUAAAACUUCAAGAAUCGAACAAUGACAUCUUCCACAAACUUUAAUAGUUUCAAAAAUUAACACACAUGUCAACUAGAUUAAGCUCCUGAGAUUCCAAAAAAAAAAAAAUACAAGAAAAUGACUAAAUUGCACUAACCAAUUUAAGCUCCAAAGUUUGAAACUCAAAGGCCAAAUGCUUCCUUCUUCAUCCUCU
Molecule: long non-coding RNA, 204 nt
Filed under: Gossypium raimondii (Peruvian cotton)
Lineage: Eukaryota; Viridiplantae; Streptophyta; Magnoliopsida; Malvales; Malvaceae
Description: long non-coding RNA (GRAI_LNC002978)
Source: RNAcentral